UGGGGAAUUUUGGACAAUGGGCGAAAGCCUGAUCCAGCAAUGCCGCGUGUGUGAAGAAGGCCUUCGGGUUGUAAAGCACUUUUGUCCGGAAAGAAAUCCUUGGCUCUAAUACAGUCGGGGGAUGACGGUACCGGAAGAAUAAGCACCGGCUAACUACGUGCCAGCAGCCGCGGUAAUACGUAGGGUGCAAGCGUUAAUCGGAAUUACUGGGCGUAAAGCGUGCGCAGGCGGUUUGCUAAGACCGAUGUGAAAUCCCCGGGCUCAACCUGGGAACUGCAUUGGUGACUGGCAGGCUAGAGUAUGGCAGAGGGGGGUAGAAUUCCACGUGUAGCAGUGAAAUGCGUAGAGAUGUGGAGGAAUACCGAUGGCGAAGGCAGCCCCCUGGGCCAAUACUGACGCUCAUGCACGAAAGCGUGGGGAGCAAACAGGAUUAGAUACCCUGGUAGUCCACGCCCUAAACGAUGUCAACUAGUUGUUGGGGAUUCAUUUCCUUAGUAACGUAGCUAACGCGUGAAGUUGACCGCCUGGGGAGUACGGUCGCAAAUUAAAACUCAAAGGAAUUGACGGGGUCAUAGCUGUUUU
Molecule: ribosomal RNA, 582 nt
Filed under: uncultured bacterium
Lineage: Bacteria
Description: partial 16S ribosomal RNA
Rfam family: Bacterial small subunit ribosomal RNA
Source: RNAcentral